Molecule: long non-coding RNA, 578 nt
Filed under: Helianthus annuus (common sunflower)
Lineage: Eukaryota; Viridiplantae; Streptophyta; Magnoliopsida; Asterales; Asteraceae
Source: RNAcentral
AUGUUUCAAAUUUAGCCGUUGUUGGUGCAUUUAUGACUAAACCGGAAGCUGGGUCUCCUGUCACCAAGAUCCCUUCAUAGAAAGGAAAAUGGAGUUUUUGAUUGAAAGCAUGGAUGAUCUCUCAAUGGAACAUUAAAAGGUUGGUUUCUUCUUAGCUGGUGGUUUUGCUUCACAUAUAUGUCAUAUUAGUCAUAAAAUUUGUAAUUUUUUUGUUUCAGUUCUAUUUUUUCUGUCACGUCAACAAGCCCAGCAGCAAACAUGGCUUCAAAAGUGAAGGGCUGAAAUAAUGGCCCAUGUUAAGCAUAGAAGUUGGGGGGUAUUGGUACUGGAGAUAUUAGAAGUGCUAAUUUACGUUGGUAGCAAAAUGGAUGUGGAAAUUUAAAGACAGGCCUAUGACUUUAUGGGUUAAGGUGGUGGUUCCGAUCAAUGGUAGUUCAAGAGUGGUUGGGCAAUUCCCCCUGAAAAAAACGGUAUUUGUGAGAUGUGGAAAGACAUUUGCUCUGUUGAGAAAGAGUUUUAUGCUUUAAGCCUUCCAAUUGGCGACGGGGGUAAAACUAUGUUUUGGAUGGAUAACUGGG